This 254-nucleotide ribosomal RNA is filed under the name uncultured bacterium. RNAcentral describes it as "partial 16S ribosomal RNA". It matches the Rfam family "Bacterial small subunit ribosomal RNA", at positions 524 to 776 of the family's 1533-position model. The record is from RNAcentral.
UACGGAGGGUGCAAGCGUUAUCCGGAAUCACUGGGUUUAAAGGGUGCGUAGGCGGUUUGAUAAGUCAGUCGUGAAAUACUUCCGCUUAACGGAUAGAACUGCGAUUGAUACUGUUAGACUUGAAUUAGGUUGAGGUAGGCGGAAUGUGACAUGUAGCGGUGAAAUGCUUAGAUAUGUCAUAGAACACCGAUUGCGAAGGCAGCUUGCUGGACCUAAAUUGACGCUGAGGCACGAAAGCGUGGGGAGCAAACAGG